AGGCCUGUAGCUCCAACUGGCAGAGCAACGGUCUCCAAAACCGUGUGUUGUUGGUUCGAAUCCAACCAGGCCUG
Molecule: transfer RNA, 74 nt
Filed under: Candidatus Omnitrophota bacterium
Lineage: Bacteria; Pseudomonadati; Candidatus Omnitrophota
Description: tRNA-Trp
Rfam family: tRNA
About the family: Transfer RNA (tRNA) molecules are approximately 80 nucleotides in length. Their secondary structure includes four short double-helical elements and three loops (D, anti-codon, and T loops). Further hydrogen bonds mediate the characteristic L-shaped molecular structure. tRNAs have two regions of fundamental functional importance: the anti-codon, which is responsible for specific mRNA codon recognition, and the 3' end, to which the tRNAs corresponding amino acid is attached (by aminoacyl-tRNA synthetases). tRNAs cope with the degeneracy of the genetic code in two manners: having more than one tRNA (with a specific anti-codon) for a particular amino acid; and 'wobble' base-pairing, i.e. permitting non-standard base-pairing at the 3rd anti-codon position.
Source: RNAcentral